Molecule: ribosomal RNA, 1032 nt
Filed under: Triticum aestivum (bread wheat)
Lineage: Eukaryota; Viridiplantae; Streptophyta; Magnoliopsida; Poales; Poaceae
Description: partial small subunit ribosomal RNA
Source: RNAcentral
AUGGAAAGUAAGAAGAGAAGGGAAGAUUGGCUGGUCGGGAGAGCUGAGAACUCAAGGGUGGAUGAUAAUAAACAUAGCUGGAAGAGCUUGUGGAAGAUUAAUGCGCCGGGGAAGAUAAAAAAUUUCGCAUGGCGCCUUGCCAGAAACACAAUUCCAACGGAUGCAUUAAGACAUCACCGCCAUAUGACACAGAGUAGUGUGUGCCCUGUUUGUAACGGAGCUGAAGAUACCUGGAAACAUGCUCUUAUGGAAUGCACAGUGGCAAAGUGUGUCUGGUCCCUAAUCGAUGAAGAUCUGGUGGAACAUCUGAUAGCUUGCAGAAUGACUGAUGCCAAACUUUGGCUUACUGAAAUGCAGGCUUCAAUGGACGAGAAUGGUUUUGUCAAAACGCUAGUUAUCCUUUGGUCCAUAUGGUGGGCACGAAGAAAGCUAAUUCAUGAAGACCAAGUUCAGUCCCCACUGACAACAUUCAUGUUCAUAAAAAAAUAUCUUGAUGACCUGGCAACAAUCCCAUGCAACAGUGCAGCGAGGACCAUAACUGUUCAAACGACAAGGUGGACUCCACCACCGGCUGGGGCUGUUAAGAUUCAUGUUGAUGCGGCUGUUGGACGUCAUGAAGAUAGAGGAGCCUGUGCUGCUGUUUGUAGAGACGAAACAGGACACUUUCUUGGUGCUUCGGUUACAGUAGUCCAACAUUUGAUUUCCCCGGACAUUCUUGAAGCGAAGGCAAGCAGUGAGGCUCUUUCACUAGCGAUGGAUCUGAUGUGCAAUAAUGUGAUCGUUGCGACUGAUUGUCAGGAAACGGUUAAGAACCUGAAGCAGCCUUAUCUUGGAAGGUCGACAGCGAUUAUUCAUGAAAUUAAAGAGAAGAUUAAGACGGCGGGAUCAGUUGUUUUUCUGUAUGAGAGUAGAAGUAUGAAUCUAGAAGCUCAUAAACUUGCAAAGGCGGCCACCACUCUCGGUUUUGGUCGUCAUUCGUGGCUGCUGGAUAGGCCAGACUUAAUCUGUAUUCCUGAAAACAUUCUGAGCUAA